AGCAUGUGCGCGAGUCAUUGGGAAUCUAUAAACCUAAAGGCGUAAUGAAAGUAAAGGUUCUCCUCGCGGGAACCUAGGGAAGACGGGCGACGACGAUUUUCACCGUUAAAAGUGGAAUUCGGUAUACCGUUCGCUCCGCAUUCCCGGGGCGUUUUGUUCUCAUUGCGAGAAGAGGCGCACCAAGAGCGUACACGCUGGGACCCGAAAGAUGGUGAACUAUGCCUGGUCAGGAUGAAGUCAGGGGAAACCCUGAUGGAGGUCCGUAGCGAUUCUGACGUGCAAAUCGAUCGUCGGAACUGGGUAUAGGGGCGAAAGACUAAUCGAACCAUCUAGUAGCUGGUUCCCUCCGAAGUUUCCCUCAGGAUAGCUGGCGCUCGUUGCGCAAGAGUCUCAUCCGGUAAAGCGAAUGAUUAGAGGCAUUGGGGUCGAAACGACCUCUACCUAUUCUCAAACUUUAAAUGGGUGAGAUCUCCGGCUUGCUCGAACGUACACUAGUCUACUAGUUAACUGUCUAAUGCAGCGCGCUAGCAGCUAGUUGAAGCCGCGAGAUACACGGAUCAGAGAGCCAAGUGGGCCAUUUUUGGUAAGCAGAACUGGCGCUGUGGGAUGAACCAAACGUCGAGUUAAAGCGCCUAAAUCGACGCUUAUGGGAUACCAUGAAAGGCGUUGGUAACUUAA
RNAcentral lists this ribosomal RNA (678 nucleotides) under Trigonopterus yoda. RNAcentral describes it as "partial large subunit ribosomal RNA". It matches the Rfam family "Eukaryotic large subunit ribosomal RNA", at positions 677 to 1235 of the family's 3401-position model. The record is from RNAcentral. Lineage: Eukaryota; Metazoa; Arthropoda; Insecta; Coleoptera; Curculionidae.